UCCAUAGACACUGAACCAGAGCCAAAAAAGUCUCCCGGACGUGACGGUGACAUUGGUAUUGGCUACGGUUGCAUUGCUGUGGGUGCUGCGUAACUAGAGAAAUAUGGACCGAUCAAUACAAGUUCAAGACGAGCCGGGAGAGGACGCAGCAGUCGGAC
Etheostoma cragini (Arkansas darter) is the source of this 158-nucleotide long non-coding RNA. RefSeq lists it as uncharacterized. The transcript has 3 exons. NCBI's taxonomy places the organism in Eukaryota, Metazoa, Chordata, Actinopteri, Perciformes, Percidae. The record is from RefSeq and is a predicted model, not a curated record.